GCCGAGGUGGUGAAACUGGUAGACACGCCAGCCUUAGGAGCUGGUGGAGUAAUCCGUGGAGGUUCGAGUCCUCUCCUCGGCA
This 82-nucleotide transfer RNA is filed under the name Parcubacteria group bacterium CG2_30_45_37. RNAcentral's name for it is "tRNA-Leu". It matches the Rfam family "tRNA". From Rfam's summary of the family: Transfer RNA (tRNA) molecules are approximately 80 nucleotides in length. RNAcentral also lists the same sequence under 1 other name. The record is from RNAcentral.